Molecule: ribosomal RNA, 600 nt
Filed under: Bacillus sp. (in: firmicutes)
Lineage: Bacteria; Bacillati; Bacillota; Bacilli; Caryophanales; Bacillaceae
Description: bacterial SSU rRNA
Rfam family: Bacterial small subunit ribosomal RNA
Source: RNAcentral
ACGGGGAUAACUCCGGGAAACCGGGGCUAAUACCGGAUAAUAAGAAGAAACGCAUGUUUCUUUUUUGAAAGUCGGUUUCGGCUGACACUUACAGAUGAGCCCGCGGCGCAUUAGCUAGUUGGUGAGGUAACGGCUCACCAAGGCGACGAUGCGUAGCCGACCUGAGAGGGUGAUCGGCCACACUGGGACUGAGACACGGCCCAGACUCCUACGGGAGGCAGCAGUAGGGAAUCUUCGGCAAUGGGCGAAAGCCUGACCGAGCAACGCCGCGUGAGCGAUGAAGGCCUUCGGGUCGUAAAGCUCUGUUGUUAGAGAAGAACAAGUACGAGAGUAACUGCUCGUACCUUGACGGUACCUAACCAGAAAGCCACGGCUAACUACGUGCCAGCAGCCGCGGUAAUACGUAGGUGGCAAGCGUUAUCCGGAAUUAUUGGGCGUAAAGCGCGCGCAGGCGGUCUCUUAAGUCUGAUGUGAAAGCCCACGGCUCAACCGUGGAGGGUCAUUGGAAACUGGGAGACUUGAGUGCAGGAGAGAAAAGUGGAAUUCCACGUGUAGCGGUGAAAUGCGUAGAGAUGUGGAGGAACACCAGUGGCGAAGGCG